CUGAAGGAGGAGGGACUUACUAAUUUACUGCCUGUCCGUCUGCUUUCCAGGCAUAUAAAAACCCCACCUCUUCCUUUCUCCGACAGUUCUGCCUUCUCUUCUGAAUCCUCGACGUCAGCCUGUGAAGGAAAAGAAAACUAGACAAAAUGCGUGAGUGUAUCUCCAUGCAUGUGGGCCAAGCCGGAGUCCAGAUGGGUAAUGCCUGUUGGGAGCUGUACUGCCUGGAGCAUGGGAUCCAGCCGGACGGACAGAUGCCCAGUGACAAGACUCGUGGAGGUGGAGACGACUCCUUCAACACCUUCUUCAGUGAGACCGGAGCUGGAAAGCAUGUCCCCCGUGCCAUCUUCGUUGAUCUGGAGCCCACUGUCAUUGAUGAGGUGAGGACUGGUAUCUAUCGCCAGCUGUUCCACCCUGAGCAGCUCAUUACGGGUAAGGAAGAUGCUGCCAACAACUACGCCCGCGGUCACUACACUAUCGGCAAGGAGAUCAUUGACAUCGUGCUGGACAGGACACGCAAACUGGCUGACCAGUGUACAGGUCUCCAGGGGUUCCUCAUCUUCCACAGCUUCGGAGGAGGCACCGGUUCUGGUUUCACCUCCCUGCUGAUGGAACGUCUGUCUGUGGACUACGGAAAGAAGUCUAAGCUUGAGUUCGCCGUUUACCCAGCUCCCCAGGUGUCCACGGCUGUGGUGGAGCCCUACAACUCCAUCCUGACCACUCACACCACCCUGGAGCACUCCGACUGUGCCUUCAUGGUGGACAAUGAGGCCAUCUAUGACAUCUGCCGCAGGAACCUCGAUAUUGAGCGUCCCUCGUACACCAACCUCAACAGGCUCAUUGGUCAGAUCGUCUCAUCCAUCACUGCCUCCCUGCGAUUCGAUGGAGCCCUGAAUGUUGAUCUGACAGAGUUCCAGACCAACUUGGUGCCCUACCCCCGUAUCCACUUCCCUCUGGCCACCUAUGCCCCGGUCAUCUCUGCUGAGAAGGCCUAUCACGAGCAGCUGUCAGUCGCUGACAUCACCAACGCCUGCUUCGAGCCAGCCAAUCAGAUGGUGAAGUGUGACCCUCGUCACGGCAAAUACAUGGCCUGCUGUCUCCUGUACCGUGGUGACGUUGUUCCCAAAGAUGUCAACUCUGCCAUCGCUGCCAUCAAGACCAAGAGGAGUAUCCAGUUUGUGGACUGGUGUCCCACUGGGUUCAAGGUGGGUAUCAACUACCAGCCCCCAACGGUGGUUCCUGGAGGAGACCUGGCCAAGGUCCAGAGGGCCGUGUGCAUGCUGAGUAACACCACAGCCAUCGCUGAGGCCUGGGCCCGUCUGGACCACAAGUUUGACCUGAUGUAUGCCAAGAGAGCCUUUGUGCACUGGUACGUUGGUGAGGGCAUGGAGGAGGAGAGUUCUCUGAGGCCAGAGAGGACAUGGCAGCCCUGGAGAAGGACUAUGAAGAGGUGGGCACUGACAGCGUGGGAGAAGAGGAUGAGGAGGGAGAGGAAUAUUAAAGGGUUAAACAAACUAGGUGUUUGCCACCCUACAUUCCAACACCGUUGGAGUCCUACACUUAACGUGACAUCAACACAUUCCCCACUGUCAUGGUAACAGUCUCUGUUACACCUCGUCAUGUUGUGUCAGGGUUCUCAAUAAACGCAUCAUAAACCAA
This is an RNA transcript of Oncorhynchus keta (chum salmon), 1656 nucleotides long. It is a transcript of the gene named tubulin alpha chain-like, with no coding region annotated. Lineage: Eukaryota; Metazoa; Chordata; Actinopteri; Salmoniformes; Salmonidae. The transcript is spliced from 4 exons. The record is from RefSeq and is a predicted model, not a curated record.